AGAGUUUGAUCCUGGCUCAGGACGAACGCUGGCGGCGUGCCUAAUACAUGCAAGUCGAGCGGACGAAUCGAAAGCUUGCUUUUGAUUCGUUAGUGGCGGACGGGUGAGUAACACGUGGGCAACCUGCCCUGUAGACGGGGAUAACACCGAGAAAUCGGUGCUAAUACCGGAUAACACGAAAUGUCGCAUGACGUUUCGUUGAAAGACGGCGCAAGCUGUCGCUACAGGAUGGGCCCGCGGCGCAUUAGCUAGUUGGUGAGGUAACGGCUCACCAAGGCGACGAUGCGUAGCCGACCUGAGAGGGUGAUCGGCCACACUGGGACUGAGACACGGCCCAGACUCCUACGGGAGGCAGCAGUAGGGAAUCUUCCGCAAUAGACGAAAGUCUGACGGAGCAACGCCGCGUGAGCGAAGAAGGCCUUCGGGUCGUAAAGCUCUGUUGUUAGGGAAGAACAAGUAACGCAGUAACUGGCGUUACCGUGACGGUACCUAACGAGAAAGCCACGGCUAACUACGUGCCAGCAGCCGCGGUAAUACGUAGGUGGCAAGCGUUGUCCGGAAUUAUUGGGCGUAAAGCGCGCGCAGGCGGUUCCUUAAGUCUGAUGUGAAAGCCCACGGCUCAACCGUGGAGGGUCAUUGGAAACUGGGGGACUUGAGUGCAGAAGAGGAGAGCGGAAUUCCACGUGUAGCGGUGAAAUGCGUAGAGAUGUGGAGGAACACCAGUGGCGAAAGCGGCUCUCUGGUCUGUAACUGACGCUGAGGCGCGAAAGCGUGGGGAGCAAACAGGAUUAGAUACCCUG
This 800-nucleotide ribosomal RNA is filed under the name uncultured bacterium. Its description in RNAcentral is "bacterial SSU rRNA". It matches the Rfam family "Bacterial small subunit ribosomal RNA", at positions 8 to 789 of the family's 1533-position model. The record is from RNAcentral.